UGCAAGUCGAGCGAACAGAAGGGAGCUUGCUCCCGGAUGUUAGCGGCGGACGGGUGAGUAACACGUGGGUAACCUGCCUGUAAGACUGGGAUAACUCCGGGAAACCGGAGCUAAUACCGGAUAGUUCCUUGAACCGCAUGGUUCAAGGAUGAAAGACGGUUUCGGCUGUCACUUACAGAUGGACCCGCGGCGCAUUAGCUAGUUGGUGGGGUAAUGGCUCACCAAGGCGACGAUGCGUAGCCGACCUGAGAGGGUGAUCGGCCACACUGGGACUGAGACACGGCCCAGACUCCUACGGGAGGCAGCAGUAGGGAAUCUUCCGCAAUGGACGAAAGUCUGACGGAGCAACGCCGCGUGAGUGAUGAAGGUUUUCGGAUCGUAAAGCUCUGUUGUUAGGGAAGAACAAGUGCGAGAGUAACUGCUCGCACCUUGACGGUACCUAACCAGAAAGCCACGGCUAACUACGUGCCAGCAGCCGCGGUAAUACGUAGGUGGCAAGCGUUGUCCGGAAUUAUUGGGCGUAAAGGGCUCGCAGGCGGUUUCUUAAGUCUGAUGUGAAAGCCCCCGGCUCAACCGGGGAGGGUCAUUGGAAACUGGGAAACUUGAGUGCAGAAGAGGAGAGUGGAAUUCCACGUGUAGCGGUGAAAUGCGUAGAGAUGUGGAGGAACACCAGUGGCGAAGGCGACUCUCUGGUCUGUAACUGACGCUGAGGAGCGAAAGCGUGGGGAGCGAACAGGAUUAGAUACCCUGGUAGUCCACGCCGUAAACGAUGAGUGCUAAGUGUUAGGGGGUUUCCGCCCCUUAGUGCUGCAGCUAACGCAUUAAGCACUCCGCCUGGGGAGUACGGUCGCAAGACUGAAACUCAAAGGAAUUGACGGGGGCCCGCACAAGCGGUGGAGCAUGUGGUUUAAUUCGAAGCAACGCGAAGAACCUUACCAGGUCUUGACAUCCUCUGACAACCCUAGAGAUAGGGCUUUCCCUUCGGGGACAGAGUGACAGGUGGUGCAUGGUUGUCGUCAGCUCGUGUCGUGAGAUGUUGGGUUAAGUCCCGCAACGAGCGCAACCCUUGAUCUUAGUUGCCAGCAUUUAGUUGGGCACUCUAAGGUGACUGCCGGUGACAAACCGGAGGAAG
This 1132-nucleotide ribosomal RNA is filed under the name Bacillus sp. 999B6_12AR2A. Its description in RNAcentral is "bacterial SSU rRNA". It matches the Rfam family "Bacterial small subunit ribosomal RNA", at positions 56 to 1172 of the family's 1533-position model. Lineage: Bacteria; Bacillati; Bacillota; Bacilli; Caryophanales; Bacillaceae. The record is from RNAcentral.